Molecule: ribosomal RNA, 520 nt
Filed under: uncultured Glomus
Lineage: Eukaryota; Fungi; Glomeromycota; Glomeromycetes; Glomerales; Glomeraceae
Description: SSU rRNA
Rfam family: Eukaryotic small subunit ribosomal RNA
Source: RNAcentral
AGCAGCCGCGGUAAUUCCAGCUCCAAUAGCGUAUAUUAAAGUUGUUGCAGUUAAAAAGCUCGUAGUUGAAUUUCGGGAUCAAAAAAUACGGUCAUGCCUUGGUAUGCACUGGUUUUAUUGGUUCUCACCUUCUAAGGAACCAUAAUGUCAUUCAUUUGAUGUUAUGGGGAAUUAGGACUGUUACCUUGAAAAAUUAGAGUGUUUAAAGCAGGCUUACGCUUGAAUACAUUAGCAUGGAAUAAUGAAAUAGGACAUCAGAUUCUAUUUUGUUGGUUUCUAGGAUCGAUGUAAUGAUUAAUAGGGAUAGUUGGGGGCAUUAGUAUUCAAUUGUCAGAGGUGAAAUUCUUGGAUUUAUUUGAAGACUAACUACUGCGAAAGCAUUUGCCAAGGAUGUUUUCUAUUAAUCAAGAACGAAAGUUAGGGGAUCGAAGACGAUCAGAUACCGUCGUAGUCUUAAACCAUAAACUAUGUCCGACUAGGGGAUCGGAUGUAUGUUUAAUUUUUUAAUGUACUCAUUCGG